GUGCCAGCUGCCGCGGUAAUACCGGCAUCCCGAGUGAUGACCGAUCUUAUUGGGCCUAAAGCGUCCGUAGCCGGCCUCGCAAGUCCGUCGGGAAAUCCAGUAGCUCAACUACUGGGCGUCCGGCGGAAACUACAAGGCUUGGGACCGGAAGGCUCGAGGGGUACGUCCGGGGUAGGAGUGAAAUCCUGUAAUCCCGCUCGGACCGCCGAUGGGGAAACCACCUCAGGAGAACGGAUCCGACAGUGAGGGACGAAAGCCAGGGUCUCGAACCGGAUUAGAUACCCCAGUAGUCC
RNAcentral lists this ribosomal RNA (293 nucleotides) under uncultured bacterium. RNAcentral's name for it is "partial 16S ribosomal RNA". It matches the Rfam family "Archaeal small subunit ribosomal RNA", at positions 455 to 747 of the family's 1478-position model. The record is from RNAcentral.